GCAGACACAACAUAAGGUUGAAAUGGACAAGAGAGAUGGCAAGUUUGGUCCUCAACCAAUGGCAGUGCCACCGGUGCAGCACAUGUCACGGCUAGAUCAGCCUUACCCACCAACUGUUGGAUAUCCUCCUCCAGUGUAUGGGGCAGUUUACGGUCAACCACCUCCUCAGCAAGCUUAUGGUCAACCACCUCCUCAACAAGCUUAUGGUCAACCUCCUCCUCAACAAGGUUAUCCAGCUCCUGCCUAUCCACCUGCUGGUUAUCCUCCUCCUGGCUAUCAGAAGUGAUCUUUCGAAGGAUUUGGUGCGUCAUUCUAUUAUCAAAAGAAAGCUGGAAAU
This 337-nucleotide long non-coding RNA is filed under the name Nicotiana tabacum (common tobacco). Its description in RNAcentral is "long non-coding RNA (NTAB_LNC006477)". The record is from RNAcentral. Lineage: Eukaryota; Viridiplantae; Streptophyta; Magnoliopsida; Solanales; Solanaceae.